GAUGAACGCUGGCGGCGUGCUUAACACAUGCAAGUCGAACGAUGGAGCCCUGCUUGCUGGGUGGUUUAGUGGCGAACGGGUGAGUAACACGUGAGUAACCUGCCCUUAACUUUUGGAUAAGCCUGGGAGACUGGGUCCAAUACCUGAUAGGAGCGUCCACCGCAGGGUGGGAGUUGGAAAUAUUUUUCGGUUUUGGGUGGACUCGCGGCCUAUCAGCUUUUUGGUGAGGGAUGGGCUGACCAAGGCGACGACGGGUAGCCGGCCUGAGAGGGAGACCGGCCACCAUGGGACUGAGACACGGCCCAGACUCCUACGGGAGGCAGCAGUGGGGAAUAUUGCCCAGUGGGCGCAAGCCUGAUGCAGCGACGCCGCGUGUGUGAUGACGGCCUUCGGGUUGUAAACCUCUUUCAGUAGGGAAGAAGCGAAAGUGACGGUACCUGCAGAAGAAGCACCGGCUAACUACGUG
RNAcentral lists this ribosomal RNA (466 nucleotides) under uncultured bacterium. Its description in RNAcentral is "partial 16S ribosomal RNA". It matches the Rfam family "Bacterial small subunit ribosomal RNA", at positions 28 to 507 of the family's 1533-position model. The record is from RNAcentral.